AUGCAGGGGCACAAUGAUAUAAACCAUAGAUACAGCUGUAAAAAAGACAUUCGCAUUAAAUUAAUAUCUGUAGGAGUGCAGGUAGAGAAAGAAAAAAAAAAAAAGAAGAAAAAGACAAUAGAAUUAAAUCUUAGUAAAAGUCCAGCUCAUGGCUCGACUUUACACGUGUUCUGGACCAGCCCUAACACAGUUGGGAUGAAGGAUGCUCAGGUGGGCACCCAAGGUCAGGAGCACAGAUAUGUUAGUAGGUGCCUGGGGGCUGUGAGCCCAUGCUGGGAGGCCACCAAGGGGCCCCGUGCGACCUCUGCCCCACGCAAUGCGGAGACCAGCCCUGUGAGAUGCAACAAGGGGACCCCCAUCCAGACCAUGCAUCACAGAACAGCUGCCCUCUGUGACCUCAGCAGCUGUCUAGCGUUUCAGCUCUUAUUUGAGGGCAGCAGCAGCAUGUUGGCAGACGUGUCCGGCACCAGCCCCAUGAGCCACAGUGAGAGGCAAUUUGGCCAUCAUGACUUUUUUUUUUAUGGCUGCAUCACCAGACCCACUUUGCACCUGCAUUCAUCCAUUAGCAGAGUUCAUCCCCAAAGUACUGCUUGGAGAGGAGCUCAGGAUUGCAAAGACCACUGAGGAGUAAAGAAUGUUCCUGUGUGCUGGGGCUUGAGAACCAGCCCCUGGAGCUUGGCUGGUGACCUGUGCAUCCUUGAAGCAGCCUGAUGCUCCACUGCUCUACUUGGACUCCACACAUCAUGCUGUAUGAUUUACCAUGAGAUUUUAAUUCCCAAACUCUAAUCCCUCUUCUUAAUUUCAGUUCCAUUUUCACAGGUCCCUAAUUUUUGUCAAUAAUCUGUGAGCAUUCCUAUUUGGCAUUAUGGUUGGUUGAGAUGUGGCCAGAUAAAGUGGAAGUUUCAGUUUGUGUGUGGUGGUUUUACUCGGGUGGGCGGCUGAGCUCCACCACAACUGCUCUCUCACUCCCCCUCCUCAAAGAGGAAUGGGGAGAAAAUACAAGGAAAAGGGCUUAAGGGUUGAGAUAAGGACAGGGAGAUCACGCAGUAAUUAUUGUGACAGGCAAAACAGACUCAGCAUAGGGAGAUAGUAAGAUUUAUUACCUAUUACUAACAAGCUAGAGAA
Molecule: long non-coding RNA, 1125 nt
Filed under: Anser cygnoides (Swan goose)
Lineage: Eukaryota; Metazoa; Chordata; Aves; Anseriformes; Anatidae
Description: lncRNA (ENSACDG00005000924.1)
Source: RNAcentral